RNAcentral lists this ribosomal RNA (253 nucleotides) under uncultured bacterium. RNAcentral's name for it is "partial 16S ribosomal RNA". It matches the Rfam family "Bacterial small subunit ribosomal RNA", at positions 524 to 776 of the family's 1533-position model. The record is from RNAcentral.
UACGUAGGUGGCGCGCGUUGUCCGGAUUUACUGGGCGUAAAGCGCGCGCAGGCGGACUGAUCAGUCUGGGGUGAAAUCUCACGGCUCAACUGUGAGCGGUCCCUGGAUACUGUCAGCCUUGAGAUGUCUAGAGGAGAGCGGAAUUCCCGGUGUAGUGGUGGAAUGCGUAGAUAUCGGGAAGAACACCAGUGGCGAAAGCGGCUCUCUGGGGACCAUCUGACGCUGAGGCGCGAAAGCGUGGGGAGCAAACAGG